This is a non-coding RNA of Caenorhabditis elegans, 21 nucleotides long. NCBI's taxonomy places the organism in Eukaryota, Metazoa, Nematoda, Chromadorea, Rhabditida, Rhabditidae. The record is from Ensembl.
UUGAAGAAACAUCUUCUGCCA